AGGUAAACAUCACUGCUGAGAUCAAGAUUGGCUAAUUGCUAAUUAGUUGAUUUCACCCACUGGCCAGAAAGGGACUCUUUUAGGACAACUAGCUCUUCUUUGGACAUCAUCACCUCUAAAUGGUGCGAUCGUGCCUUUCCAGGAACAUACUUCAAGGAAUUAUUUGCAUCCGAUUCCACUUUCGCUGUUCAAGCAGAAAACAAGAGUGCAUGCUGAUGAAACGGAAAUAAAUCCUGCCUACCUGUUUGGUAACAUUAAAAUGAGAAUGUAGCAAGAAUUUCAGGUGAAAAUGCUUACCGUUGUCCCCUGGGCUCUCUGUGGCUCCUUCAGUCUGGGGAUAAGAGAAAGCACACUUUAGGAGCUCCGUAUCAGA
Long non-coding RNA from Poecilia latipinna (sailfin molly), 373 nucleotides. RefSeq lists it as uncharacterized. The transcript is spliced from 2 exons. NCBI's taxonomy places the organism in Eukaryota, Metazoa, Chordata, Actinopteri, Cyprinodontiformes, Poeciliidae. The record is from RefSeq and is a predicted model, not a curated record.